AGCAGGGUUGGGAAUGGGGAUGGAGGUGGGGAGGCUUCAGGAUGCAGGAAUGGGCUGUGAUUGUUCUCAGAGCUCAGGAAUUCAGGUGACUGAGGGUCUUCUGCAGACAGGAGUCAGAUCCAUCAGUCCUGAUUAGUGCAAAUUUUCCUGAAGCUUUUGGGCAUAAUCUGGUAAGCAAUUCAGCAGAUAAACAAGGACAGCUGCCUACAAGUCAACCAUGGUGCACCUCAGCUGACAGUGAGGGAUGCCGUUUCAGAAGACUGACUGUGCUUGAGAUUUUUAUAAAUAAGGACCCCUUUCCUCACUUCAAACUCCCAAAAAUGUCUGAGUUGUGGAAAUGGUUGGAAGUUGAGUCCGUCAGCUGGCAGAGGCCUGGAAGACACCAGCCCUCUCACCAGACCCUAUGCAGAGUUGUGGUUUUCCAGGAAGCAUUAGGGGCCAAGAGCACAGAGCUGUGGCAUGAAGGGAUCCAGGAAAAGGUGGAAGAAACAGCCAGGCAAGAAAGUACAAGUUCAUGUCAGCACUCCAGCGCCCUGCUCACUCCUGCUCAAGUGAGCUGACCUGCUACUGCCAGAAUGUUGCCUGGCUCCCUGAGUCACACAGAACAUCUGAAGAGGCAGUGUGGCAAAGGAAGCCUGGCCAUAAAGGGAGUAGUUUUGUUCCACCACACACCUCUGCCAUGCUAUGCUGCCUCCCCACAGGCC
RNAcentral lists this long non-coding RNA (704 nucleotides) under Heterocephalus glaber (naked mole-rat). RNAcentral describes it as "lncRNA (ENSHGLG00000031568.2)". Lineage: Eukaryota; Metazoa; Chordata; Mammalia; Rodentia; Bathyergidae. The record is from RNAcentral.